GACGAACGCUGGCGGCGUGCCUAAUACAUGCAAGUAGAACGCUGAAGGAGGAGCUUGCUUCUCUGGAUGAGUUGCGAACGGGUGAGUAACGCGUAGGUAACCUGCCUGGUAGCGGGGGAUAACUAUUGGAAACGAUAGCUAAUACCGCAUAAUAGUAGAUGUUGCAUGACAUUUGCUUAAAAGGUGCAAUUGCCUCACUACCAGAUGGACCUGCGUUGUAUUAGCUAGUUGGUGGGGUAACGGCUCACAAAGGCGACGAUACAUAGCCGACCUGAGAGGGUGAUAAGCCACACUGGGACUGUGGCAGGGCCCAGACUCAUACGGGAGGCAGCAGUAGGGAAUCUUCGGCAAUGGACGGAAGUAUGACCGAGCAACGCCGCGUGAGUGAAGAAGGGUUUCGGAUCGUAAAGCUCUGUUGUAAGAGAAGAACGAGUGUGAGAGUGGAAAGUUCACACUGUGACGGUAUCUUAACAGAAAGGGACGGCUAACUACGUG
Molecule: ribosomal RNA, 495 nt
Filed under: uncultured bacterium
Lineage: Bacteria
Description: partial 16S ribosomal RNA
Rfam family: Bacterial small subunit ribosomal RNA
Source: RNAcentral